UGGUUUUGAUGGUGAAACUGAUGACUUGAUGGAUGAUAAAUACAAGAAGCUCCGCUGUGAGAUUACUCCACUUUCUCAUGAUAGUGAAGAUUAUCAGUUGAUUGAGAAAUACCUCCUUGCUACUCAUGUCCCUACACACUAGGAUUGGAGUCCCGAAGAAGUUUUUUCACUUGAAAAGAAAGGGGAGCAUGAUAAAUUUGCUCCUUACAGACGAUAGCUUAACAAUAGAAUGCUUCUUUGGCAUGGUUCUCGGCUCACAAACUUUGUGGGCAUGCUUAGCCAGGGACUGAGAAUAGCUCCUCCUGAAGCUCCAGCUACUGGUUACAUGGUGCUCUCUCUGUUUCUGUCUCAGUGUGUCCUGCAGGUGCACAUGCAUGCAUUUGUUGGGUGUGCAUACUCAUGAACCGUUGGAUACGUGAAAUGCAUCCACUUUUUGUAAGACUCAAAGUUCAAUAUUUUAAACUACAGUUUGGCAAGGGGAUUUUAGUUUGCUUAUAUUGCAAAUAAGAGUGCUCAGUAUUGCUAUACCGACAAGAGAAAUCCCCUGGGCCUCAUGCUUCUCAGCGAAGUUGCCCUUGGGGAGGUCUAUGAACUCAAUAAGGUCAAGCGUAUGAAUAAACCUCCUGAAGGAAAGCACUCCAGAAAAGGACUUGCCAAGAAGAAACCUAAUCAAAGAAGAAGCCUAAGGAGCCUGAAUGUGUAAAAUGGAGGGAUAAUGUUGUAGUUCCUUGUGGGAAACUGGUACCAUCCCGUGUCAAGGCAUCCGAACUGAUGUAUAAUGUGUACAUUGUCUACGGUACAGCUCAAGUUAAGAUGCAAUUCUUGUUGAAGGUGAGGUUUCAUCACAAGAGGUAAGGAGGAAAGCUAGGAAUACUCAAUGACAAGGUCAUUGUACUAAUUGGAUGAUUCAGUAAUGAGGUCACUGUACAUAUAUAUGGUGGUGGUGGUUGUGGAUUUGUGAAUUCUUGAAUUGACAUGGUAUUUAUCUUUUUGAUUUCACAACUCUGCACGGUCAUUGUAUAUACCUUAGUCUUUUUUGUUGUAAAAUUUCUAUCCCGUUAAUUUUAAGUCCCUAUUAGA
Molecule: long non-coding RNA, 1080 nt
Organism: Ziziphus jujuba (common jujube)
Lineage: Eukaryota; Viridiplantae; Streptophyta; Magnoliopsida; Rosales; Rhamnaceae
Exons: 5
Source: RefSeq, a predicted model, not a curated record